RNAcentral lists this non-coding RNA (291 nucleotides) under Ceraceosorus bombacis. Its description in RNAcentral is "Bacterial small subunit ribosomal RNA". It matches the Rfam family "Bacterial small subunit ribosomal RNA", at positions 547 to 873 of the family's 1533-position model. Lineage: Eukaryota; Fungi; Basidiomycota; Exobasidiomycetes; Ceraceosorales; Ceraceosoraceae. The record is from Rfam by way of RNAcentral.
GGUUUCAAUAGGUAUUAAGGAUCCGUAGGCGGUAUAUUACUACUAUAGUCUAAUAGAAGACAAUGGAAUACUGGGAGUAGAGUUGAUAUUCAUUGAUACCCAGUGGACCACUCAUGGCGAAGGCAAUUGUCUAGGUAUGACUGAAGCUGAGGGAUGAAAGUUAAGGUAGCAAAAUGGAUUAGAUACCCAAGUAGUCUUAACUGUAAACUAUUUACACCUAUCUGUUGUCUAUAAAGGUAUACUUUAUUAUUAAUAGACAGCUUGACAGCCAACUGCUGUAUGUGUAACACC